GAAGAAGAAGAAGAAGAAGAAGAAGAAGAAGAAGAAGAAGAAGAAGAAGAAGAAGAAGAAGAAGAAAGGGUAAUGCAAGGAUUGUAUUGUAUGAGAUUUCAAGAAUUUCUGAAGUCUAGAAGAUGGAGAGAGCGCCGUAAAACACUUUACAAAAACAAAACAAACAGGAGAGAGUCGGACAGACCUUGCGGGCCAAACUUCUGAUCGGAAAUAAUAAUGCUAUGCUAUUGGAGAAGGAAGAAGGAAAGAAGGAGACUUUAAAAAGUAUUAAAAAAACAACCCCCAAACAAAAAGGCUGAAAACGAAAAGAAUUAGCAUUGACUUCAGAGUUAGCGCGUGGACGAUCGAGCGAUGGCGGUUGAGUGAGUAUCCGCGAACCGUUCGUGAGCCGUGAGCUGGGCACGCGCGCGAGGGAGUGAGUUCCCUGGUCUCUCGCUCACUCUCCCGCUCUCUAUGUCUCUGUCUCUCUCCCUGUGUGUGAGUGUGUGUGUGUGUGGUGCGAGUGUCUCCCCUUCCCCCUCCUCUACCGCUUCAGCGAGGGGCCGGCGAGCGUGUUACUCCCUCUAUUGAUUCAUUGUUUACACACAGGCAGACAUACACACACAUACAGACACACACACACGCGCGAGCGCGCGCCAACACGGUGUCAGGCAGCACUGCGUCUCUCACUCCACUCACUCACUCACUCAUUCAGUUAUUCACCUAUUCACUCAUUCACUCACCACGUGCGUGUGUGAGAGGAGUUGUGGCUGGCAGGAUUGUGUCUUGGAUUCUACGUACCCCGCACACCCCCACACACAUACAUACACACUCGCGCGCUCGCUCACGCACGCACGCGCACGCUUGCUCUACCCUCCCCCCACCCCAGCACAACAGCUGACGCGCGUGUACUGGAGUGUGUCCGCGCGCGCGUGUCCACUCGCGACGACAACUUGUUCACGUUCUUGGAUUGUCGCCGUUCGUCGCUCCAUCGUCUUCAUCAUCAUCUUCGCCAUCGUCUUGGUCAUCAUUGUCAUCGGCUGACCGUACUUUACGCCUGCAGCACCACCACCACCAGCUUUCUUCUCAGUGCAGUGUGUGUCUGGUUUUCCUCAUACCGAGUUCACAAGCUGUCAACAUGAGCUCCUGGUAUCCGCCGUUACAGGCCCGUGUCUCUUCGCUCUGAAGAUACCACAUUUCUUAAACUUGGAUUACGUACUUCUACGGUUUGGGCUGAUUUAGCACUCUUAACAGCAAACAGUUCUCUCGUGAGUGAAGGGGUCUCUUUACGUUCUAACAAAUAAAUAAAUGAAUAAAUAAAUAAAUAAAAGAAUGUUGAACAAACGGACAGGAUUCUCUCUCUAUGUCCUCCUCCUCCCCCCGCCCGUCCGUGUGUGUGUGUUUCUCCUGACAUCGUCUGCUACUGGUGGUCAUCUCUGACGCGUUGCGUGCCUCUGGCACCAAACACACUCGUGAGCAGCUGAGGGAAAGCGUCUUCGGCCGAGGGGACGGACCGCGCGAGAGAGCGCGCGCUUUUUAGCGCCCAUCGUGUCCCAUUCCUCUCUCGACAGGGCUCACAAUCCAUCGUAUUCCCGGAGUGAAAGAAGGAGGAGGAGAAGAA
Long non-coding RNA from Aplysia californica (California sea hare), 1600 nucleotides. RefSeq lists it as uncharacterized. The transcript has 2 exons. NCBI's taxonomy places the organism in Eukaryota, Metazoa, Mollusca, Gastropoda, Aplysiida, Aplysiidae. The record is from RefSeq and is a predicted model, not a curated record.